CCUACGGGCGGCAGCAGUGAGGAAUAUUGGUCAAUGGGCGUGAGCCUGAACCAGCCAAGUCGCGUGAAGGAUGAAGGAUCUAUGAUUUGUAAACUUCUUUUAUAGGGGAAUAAAGUUAUGCACGUGUGCCUUUUUGUAUGUACCAUAUGAAUAAGCAUCGGCUAACUCCGUGCCAGCAGCCGCGGUAAUACGGAGGAUGCGAGCGUUAUCCGGAUUUAUUGGGUUUAAAGGGUGCGUAGGUGGUUUUUUAAGUCAGCGGUGAAAGUUUGUGGCUCAACCAUAAAAUUGCCGUUGAAACUGGUAGACUUGAGUAUAUUUGAGGUAGGCGGAAUGCGUGGUGUAGCGGUGAAAUGCAUAGAUAUCACGCAGAACUCCGAUUGCGAAGGCAGCUUACUAAGCUAUAACCGACACUGAAGCACGAAAGCGUGGGGAUCAAACAGGAUUAGAUACCCCGGUAGUC
RNAcentral lists this ribosomal RNA (460 nucleotides) under uncultured bacterium. Its description in RNAcentral is "partial 16S ribosomal RNA". It matches the Rfam family "Bacterial small subunit ribosomal RNA", at positions 338 to 795 of the family's 1533-position model. The record is from RNAcentral.